This is a long non-coding RNA of Xenia sp. Carnegie-2017, 1287 nucleotides long. RefSeq lists it as uncharacterized. Lineage: Eukaryota; Metazoa; Cnidaria; Anthozoa; Malacalcyonacea; Xeniidae. The transcript has 3 exons. The record is from RefSeq and is a predicted model, not a curated record.
CUCCAUUGCCAAUGAAUUCCAUGUUGGACAAGCAAUCAAAAAGUGAAGCUAUCUCAAAAAAAGCAAGAAGAAAAAGCAUGCCAGCUGUACAUUUCCCCCCAACUAAGCCAGCUGAAGUAUCACCUGUCAAAGAAAUAAUCACUAAUCAGAGAAAUGAGAGAGCAGCACCUCGAUGCACUGUGUGCAAGAAUUGGAUGAAAGGCCAUAAAAAUAUAAUGAACUGUCCAAAAAACGGAAAGUAACCAGUUUUUUAGGACCUGGUGGUAUGAGCCCAGUUAGUUGGGAUUCAGUGAAGUGUGAAUUGACUGCAUGGACAGAAUAAAGAGAAAGGAAUUGUAAUUUUGUAUGUUUUGUAUAACAAGUAUAAGUGUGAAUCAAAGAUGCAAUAAAUCAAGAGUGGCUUAAAUCAUUCCACACUUCACUGAAUCCCUACUAGCUGGGCUCAUGCAAACACCUAAAAUAAUAUAUAAUGUUAUGUUAUUUUACAAAUUGUCCUCUUCAUACCCUGCAAAGUGUUCAUUUUUUUUAAAUUAGAAGUUUUUCGAAUAACAUGGUAAGCACAAUCUGGAAUUGAAAUUCUUUUGUCUCGAUGCAACAACUCGAUGAAACCUGAAAAGGCAUAAUACACAAGGUCCAUUAAAACAGAAUCCUUUAUGAUAUCUAACUCCAUCUUGUCUUUGGUAAAGAUUGGCAGCUAAAUUUAAUGCCCAGCGAUUGAGGCAAAUGGCAUCAAAUCCUGGAUGCUCUGUUAUGCAUUUUGGCUGCCUUCCUAAUUCGGAUACCACCAUAUGAUCUUGCAUUCCAAUCAUGCAAUUGGCAAUUUCGUGGCAGCAUCUACAUUCUUUUGGAUUAACCAAGAGAGGAACACGGCAGUUACCACAAUGGCACCUACGAAAGUUAUCUGUCAAAAGCUUCGGCAACAAUAAAUAAACAAAUUUUCCAACUUUUCUUACCAAGAAUCAAGAGGAACUUCAUUUUGCAUUCUGCGUUUGAGCUCUUCUGUUUGGCGUCUUUCUUCUUCUGUUUCUCUAAUAUACUUUUCUAACCACUCUUCAUCUGCAAGUGGUUCGUUUUCAUACGCUUCAGCUUGGCCAUACUCAAAAUCGCCAUCGGUGUUUCGGAGCGCAUUUGAUGACGAUUGAUCUUCGUCUUCUAAAUCGAAUUCCCGACUGUUCAAUUCAAUAUUUUCCACUUUUGUUGCUGUACUCGAUUCAGAAUCAGAUGUGGACAUGUUUCGUACAAUUUUUAUAUUAAUUUCAAAGCAAUAUAUAAAGAAUUGUUAUUUCA